Molecule: long non-coding RNA, 3222 nt
Organism: Mustela erminea (ermine)
Lineage: Eukaryota; Metazoa; Chordata; Mammalia; Carnivora; Mustelidae
Exons: 3
Source: RefSeq, a predicted model, not a curated record
GGACGUCAGAGAGGGAGGUGUCUGCGGGACGCUGCUCUCUCCAAGGGCCCUAGGGCAGACCGUCCCCGGCCUCUGUCCUAGCUGCUGUUGACCCCUGCUGUCCUGGGUUCACAGAUGCGCCGCCCCAGCCUCUGCCUGUCUCCUGCAGUGUCUCUUCGUCUGUGUCUCUUUUCUUCCAGGGCACCCAUUGUUGCAUUUGGGGUCUAGCCUUGUGCAGACUGGCCGCGUCGGACCUUGAUUUCCAAAUCUGGGCAGGCUCCUACAUGCUCAGGAGCUCUGCACGGCUUUUAACCCCUGCCGGUACGGCGUGGACCCGGCCCAGCUCCUGCAGCUCCCCCGGGCUCCCCCCGCCACCAGGUCGCCAGAUGCUUUGCUCUCCCGCACCCGGAGGGCAGCUGGCCUGUCCAGCCUGGGGAGCGACUGAGCUGGUCCUUGCUGCCGCCCGCGUCCCUUCCAGGGGCCGGUGCAGUGCCCGCUCCACGGACAGGCACGGCUUCUUGCUCCUGCCUGUAAAGAUAAACAGAGACACAGUAACAGCUUCAAGAGCUGACCUGUUUGACCGACAAUCAAUCUGACUGAGGCUGUGCCAAGCAGAGCGGUUCGGUAGGGCUCCCGGACAGAAGCUGCGGAAAGACGUCCAGGGCCGGACAGACCAGGGAAUCGACAAGGAAGUCAUGGGAUUGGCUGCCUCUCAGGGCCACGUGGGCUGCUUGUGACCGGUCGUCCUUGGAGCCUCGGCUGCGCAACCUUGAGGUGCUUGCAGACUCGGGUUUCGGUUUGCAGAGACCGGCCACGGCGGCCUUGGAGCCGCCUCAGUGUGAUGGCCUCCUCGUUCAUUUAACACCUGCUCUGGGGACACCCCAGGUCCCCAAGGUGACCCUGCCCCCUUCUGCCAUGUUAGGACCGAGCGAUUCCUCUAGGGCAAGCCGCUGCCAGGCCGACCUUACAGGCCGUGACCUUGAUAAUCUCCCAGAGUGAGGCUCACAGGGCCCUGAGGUCCAAAGACCCUGAGGUCACAGGGAGCCACGGAGCCCCAAGGUGUCAGGGUCCUGGGCUCCGAAGGGCCUGCCCCCCAUAGCCCUGUGUCAGGCUGCCGUCCAGAAGGUCUUAUAAAUACCUGAAUGCUCGUGUUGUCCCGGGCCCCCAGAAGUAUGGGGCUGUGCUGGUCCCUCUAAAGGGAUCUGAGAGCUUCCCUCUGUCAGACCGGGUCAGGGCGGGGAGGUGACCUCUGCACCUGCAGGAGGAGGCGGGAGACUGGAGACCUGGGUGAAAACCUUCACACAAGACAGACCCCAGACCCUGGGCUGCUGUUCUGGGCUUACCGGAGCGGGGCGGGCAGGAAAGAAGGGGCAGGAAUCCCAUCUGAGGAGGCCUGGCUGGGGGUGGGGGCUCCUGGGCACAGGGAGGGGCGUCCCCACUGAAGACAGGGAGGAUGGGCAUGGGAAGGGCCAGCAGGGAACGGAGGGGAGGACACAGGAGAGCCUGCCUCCCAGAGCGAGCCCAGGGGAGCACAGCGCGGGGGAAGGACAGUGACCGCGGAGCUCGCCUCUCCUCUCUGCUCCUGUGGGGGCGCUGAGCCCGGAAGGCAGAGGGGGAGAGACCCCCGCCAGCCCUGCUUGGCCCCACUGCGGAAGGAGGGCACGUGCUGCAGGUGGAGACGGGCGCAGGACGGAGACCGGCGUGGAGAUAGCUGCUACCCAGACGGGGGGCGGGGGUGCUGGUAAACACCUGCGGUCCCACAGCAGAGGGGGUGUGGGUCCGCCGAGGAGCCCGUGGAGGCUGAGCGGGCAAGCUCCCUGCCCGUGAACCUGGGGCUCUCCUGCAGGGCCCGGUGGGGGUGGGGGUGAGGGGAGGUGCAGGGUUUUGCCCGGUGGGAGGGAAGGGGUGAGGGGCCGCGGGGCCAGGAACCAGAGGGCUGCAGGCGAGCGGGCUGUCGGAGCAUCCCGCCCGGAGCUCUCUGGCCGGCAUCCGCGGCCAGGGCCAGGCAGGUUUGGCUCAUCCCAGAGCAGGAGCGCGUCCGGACGGAGCAGAGUCUCCUGACGCUGCAGCAGGAGACAGGCCAGGGCGAGGCUCCGUGGGUGCCACCAUGAUGGAACCCCCCUUCCCCCCACGCCGUUGCCCUGCGGUCUUGCCUCAUUCGUUCCGACAUUCCGACCGCUCCGUCGAACGCAGGCCUCGGGGUGGGGGUCCCAGUGCUCUGCAGGGGGGCUUUCCUGAGGGUCAGGGGCUCGCUGCGUGUCCGUCAGGGACUGGGUGGGCCCCCGACGAUGCGCCGUGUCCGUGACGACUGACGUUCAUUUUCUGGGGCUGCUGGAAUGAAGGGCCACCCGUGGGGGCCUCCACGGCGGAAACGUGUCCCCUUGCGGUCUGGAGGCCCGAGUGGGAAAGCAGGGUGUCUGCCGGGCCGUGCUCGCCUGUGGCUGGGGGGAGGUUGCUCCUGCCUGGCCCCAUCCUUCUGCCUGUGGCGCCUCGCCCCAGCGUUGGGGGGUCACAUGGCCUCCUCGUGCAUCUGUGCGUCUCUAGCUCCUGGUAAGGACGCCGGUCGUGGGCUCAGAGCCCACCUGGAUUCAGGGGGACCUCACCUGAAUUUGAGAGCACCCACCUAACCCUAUUUCCAAAUGCUGCCACCAGCUUGACCUCAGCUUGGCCACGCCCCUUCCCUACCCCUGUCCCUUUCUCUCCCGCCCCCUCCCUGCCAGAGCCUGGAAGGAGACAGGUGACAGGGUCAGAAUUCCACGGAUGGUGCAACCCGGUGCUUGAAUCCGGGGUGGUCACCACGCUCGUUCUGCUGGGUCCUUAAAGGGGGAUGCAGCUCUGACUGUGCACAGAGACUGUCCCUGCAGGGGAUUCAGGAGACUCAGGAGAGCCCUCACGGCGAAAUUCAAGGCGAAAUGCAACCCGGCAAUUCACCCGGCUGGUCCCACCACCACCCCAGGAAUCCUGGCCACCCUGUUCUUCUGAUGGUCCUCCUGCCCCGGCUCCUCCACAGUGUGCCCAAGGGGACAGUCCAUCCGUCCCCGAGUGAGCACCCCUGUCCCCUCCCCAGCUCCAGGGCCCCUGCUGCGGACCCCACUCACCCGCCCUUCCUUUAGCCACUGUUGUCGCCACACAGUGGCUGGAUGUACUUUUAUGGUCUGUUCUCAAUACAAAUGAAUACAAGCUCGCACCAGAUUUUUUUUUUUUAAUUCCAAGGAAAAAACAAAAGCUUAAAACCGUCUGUGA